GUGCAGCAGUCGCGAAAACUCCGCAAUACGCGAAAGCGUGACGGGGCUACCCCGAGUGUCGUCCGCUGAGGACGACUUUUCCACGCUGUAAGAAGGCAGAGGAAUAAGGAGAGGGCAAGUCUGGUGUCAGCCACCGCGGUAAUACCAGCUCUCCGAGUGGUAGGGAUGAUUAUUGGGCUUAAAGCGUCCGUAGCUGGCCUUUCAAGUCUCUUGUUAAAUCCAGCGAUUCAAUCGUUGGACUGCGGGAGAUACUGUUAGGCUAGGGGGCGGGAGAAGCCGACGGUAUUUCCGGGGUAGGGGUAAAAUCCUAUAAUCCCGGGAAGACCACCAGUGGCGAAGGCGUCACGCUAGAACGGAUCCGACGGUCAGGGACGAAGCCCAGGGGCGCAAACGGGAUUAGAUACCCCUGGAGUCC
This 415-nucleotide ribosomal RNA is filed under the name uncultured archaeon. RNAcentral describes it as "partial 16S ribosomal RNA". It matches the Rfam family "Archaeal small subunit ribosomal RNA", at positions 330 to 747 of the family's 1478-position model. The record is from RNAcentral.